GCCGUCUUAGCUCAAUGGCAGAGCAAUUGUUUUGUAAACAAUAGGUUCGCGGUUCGAAUCCGCGAGACGGCU
RNAcentral lists this transfer RNA (72 nucleotides) under bacterium (Candidatus Gribaldobacteria) CG_4_10_14_0_8_um_filter_33_9. RNAcentral describes it as "tRNA-Thr". It matches the Rfam family "tRNA". From Rfam's summary of the family: Transfer RNA (tRNA) molecules are approximately 80 nucleotides in length. Their secondary structure includes four short double-helical elements and three loops (D, anti-codon, and T loops). Lineage: Bacteria; Candidatus Gribaldobacteria. The record is from RNAcentral.